AAAGUCGUAACAAGGUUUCCGUAGGUGAACCUGCGGAAGGAUCAUUAGCUAGUCGAACUCCCCGGAGGCCGAUGUAUUCGGUUUCGAAGACAUCUUAGGCGGUAAGGGGCUAGUACACAAUGGCGACCCACCCUUUGCGCACCGUUAUCCGUUUGCCUUGGCAGAGCUUUGGGGAGGAGAGGUUGGAAACUUCUUUGUCCCCCCCAACUUCCCGCCCGGCUCUAUCCCCUCGGGGACAGUUGGUGGUGGAAGCGGCCUGCCGAGGUUUUUUGCUCCAAAACCCACACGAACCAACUUGCCUGAAAAAUAAAAAAAAAAUAAUCCAAACAUAACUUUCAACAACGGAUCUCUUGGCUCUC
Molecule: unclassified non-coding RNA, 359 nt
Filed under: Basidiomycota sp.
Lineage: Eukaryota; Fungi; Basidiomycota
Description: partial contains small subunit ribosomal RNA, internal transcribed spacer 1, and 5.8S ribosomal RNA
Rfam family: Eukaryotic small subunit ribosomal RNA (bases 1-47)
Source: RNAcentral